AUGUAUGACCGGUGGGCCGCUUCGUCGGUGGGGUCGUCAUGCAUUGGCUGGGUUUGCCGCCGCCCGCCCGCACCCCUCCCUCCUCCCUCGUCUCAGCCGCCACCCCCACGAACCCUAGUUGCGCCCUCCUGCAUCCUCCCCUCCCUGGUCCGCCCCAAGAUCCUCCUCCUCCGUCCUCACAUGCUCCACCCUGAGCACGCCGUCGGCGAGGCGCACCGCAAGGCCCCGGAGCAACUCAGCCAGAGCCCCUCCGUACAGGAGGAACCCCGCGGCCAGCGCAACCAACAACGGUGGCGCAUACAAGAGCUCGGCCUUGAUGGGCCGCGCGCUGUACGCGAGGGUCACGUCCGCGCUGGAGGGCAGCAACGAGCACAUGGUGUGGUACAAGGAGGUGCGCAGGGAGAAGGUGCACGGCUCCGCCUAGCACCAUUUCAUGUUCAUUGCCUUGCUGUGGUUGCACCGUGGGGUUGUUAUGCUCUGUCCCUCGAGGAAGAAAUAGAAGUUGAGGGGAAGCUAUUGCAUGCUGGGAAAUCAGUUGGUGUUGUCUAUGUUGGUUUCCGGAAGAAAAGGACCGGCAAAUUGAUGGCUCAGGCACGUCGUACAAAGUACCUUGCUAUGUUGAUUCGAGAAGAGAAAGGAGUUGUCGGCGUGGUGUGGUGCGAGACCUUUGUCCCGGAGCAUGCAGAUUGUCAGUAUAAAAUAAGGUAUUUUAAUGUUUUAGUGUUCUCCAACUGCAGCGGCCAUGUCGUGACUGCCGUGUUGAGUUCUUGCACAAGCACAACCUCUAGCCCAAUAUAUACCGGAUUGAGUACUGCACUUUUAACUUAUAUACCAUGGUCGUGCCUGAUGAUUGCUGUCAUGCUUUGGAUCCCAAAAAUUAUGCACAACGACAUUGGCAUCAUAGACAAGUCGUUUGGGCUUCAAACUGCAGUGGGGAUUGCUCAGCAGGCGAUCGAUGCGGCACAUGUGGAGGUUGUGAGCUUUGUGAAUGGCAUCGGUCUUGUCAAACUUAGGGGCAGGAUCGCUGGUAAGGAGUUAUUCCACGGACUGAUGACCAGAAUCAAGAGCAGGAUGAGUCUGGCAACUGUCCUGCAUGGUUAA
This 1101-nucleotide ribosomal RNA is filed under the name Triticum aestivum (bread wheat). Its description in RNAcentral is "partial small subunit ribosomal RNA". Lineage: Eukaryota; Viridiplantae; Streptophyta; Magnoliopsida; Poales; Poaceae. The record is from RNAcentral.